UCGGGUGGAAGUGGCCCGAUUUUCCAGGUAAAGACCUUCACAAUCGGGAACCCGUAGAUUGGAUCUUCUGAAAACAUCAGAGAAAGACUAUCUUUGCCAUCCACACUACAGUAAAACUUUGGAGCCUUGAACCUUGGAUUUAUAAUCUCACAACUGAGAAGGGUCCCUCCAUACUCCUGGAACUGUACACCCAUUGGAACUCUUAAGGUAAAACUAACCAGGAAAGUUUCUCCCCAGAAAAAGAUGGCAUCCUUGAUGUGAACAGCUUUUCCCAAGAUCACAGGUCAAAACUUCUACUAUCAUGAGACUCUUACCUUUGAAUAUUUUUACCUUGUUUAUGCCUCUAUGAGCAACAGAAAUGAAAAGUGGGUCUAUAAUGUGCACUUAUAGGGUAUAAUUUUAUUUGUGAAGGAUUUUGCGGGAAGCCAGCCUUAUACAUAAAUAAACUUAUACUUUAAUAGAUAAAAGAUGAAGGCCCAAGGUGGGUGAGAAACUUUAGUGGUACAUAUGUUGACUCAUAAUCAGUCAAAACUCCUCUUAACCCACAUCAUGGAUUAAAGAGAACAUUGCCAGGAGGCCUUCACUCUUCUAGAAGGACAUAAUUUGUUAGGUCCUUUUUCCAUGGUUUAGAAUACAAGAGGCAAUAAUUAGAAAUGUCUCCCUCUUAAUAGGCAUGGGUUCAAAUAAGGCAAACGUGGAGCUGUAGCCAAUCUCGCUGUUUGUGUACCUCACUUCUGAUUCCUGUGUGUCACUUUAACAUUUUUGUCUAUACAUUUUUUCUGACCAGGAGACACCCCUGGAGUCUGUGAAUCUGCUGUGAUUCUGGGGGCUGCCCGAAUCAUGAAUCAUUCAUUGCUCAAUUAAACUCCUUUAAGUUUAAUUUGGCUGAAGUUUUUCUUUUAUCACACCCUUGCCCCAUGAGCCAGGGAAAGGGCAACUGAGGCCGCAGUAUUUUCAGUGGCACCAAGGUACAC
RNAcentral lists this long non-coding RNA (974 nucleotides) under Homo sapiens (human). Its description in RNAcentral is "HSALNT0194063". The record is from RNAcentral. Lineage: Eukaryota; Metazoa; Chordata; Mammalia; Primates; Hominidae.